GCUUGUCUCAAAGAUUAAGCCAUGCAUGUCUAAGUGUAAAUAAGUCUAUACUGUGAAACUGCGAAUGGCUCAUUAAAUCAGUUAUCGUUUAUUUGAUGAUCUCUUACUACUUGGAUAACCGUAGUAAUUCUAGAGCUAAUACAUGCACACACUCCUGACGCAAGAAAGGACGUAUUUAUUAGAUCCAUACCAACCCCUCACGGGUUUCCGGUGAAUCAUAAUAACUGAGCGAACCGCAUGCCUCACGGCGGCGGUGGUUCAUUCAAGUUUCUGCCCUAUCAGCUUUCGAUGGUAGGGUAUUGGCCUACCAUGGCGUUAACGGGUAACGGAGAAUUAGGGUUCGAUUCCGGAGAGGGAGCCUGAGAGAUGGCUACCACAUCCAAGGAAGGCAGCAGG
Molecule: ribosomal RNA, 396 nt
Filed under: Nerada mexicana
Lineage: Eukaryota; Bigyra; Bicosoecida; Siluaniidae
Description: partial small subunit ribosomal RNA
Rfam family: Eukaryotic small subunit ribosomal RNA
Source: RNAcentral